This 1485-nucleotide unclassified non-coding RNA is filed under the name Leishmania donovani. Its description in RNAcentral is "gene:unknown". Lineage: Eukaryota; Euglenozoa; Kinetoplastea; Trypanosomatida; Trypanosomatidae. The record is from RNAcentral.
CCAGAUGUACGGAGCGCCACGGCGGAGAAAUAACAAGACGCGCAGCAUGCUAUUUCUAAAGGCCUCUUAUAGUGAUGGACGCACGCCUUUUCAUGUUCAACAAGGUGCGGCCGCACAAUCGGCAUCGAGGGGCUCGCGAAACACGCGCCAUCAGUGUCUGAGCGCUGUGGGUAUUGGGGUUGGCAUUGUGAGCAAAUUGUUGUUCUUCACGCCGGGUGUAGCAUCGGCGCCCUUGCUAAUAGCGAUGGUGAUGGUGAGCGGUGAUCUGCUUUCUGUGAUCUACUGAGUUUCCUUGCUGGUGUCUGGCGUGCUUGAAGGGGACCUCUUGAAGUCCCCAUGGCGCCCCGAACGUUGCCAACCCUAGUCCGCAAUGUUCGAGGUAGGGAACAUUCUGGAAGGUUGGGGUGUGCUGUUCACUUCUAAUGCCUUAGGGGAUAGUAAGGCAGCUGCAUUUUACCAGGGCUUAUGAGGCGCCUUAAAGGCUAUGCGGGGCAGUUUUGACUCACGCUGAAAUCUUGGGAGGGAGGGUGGGGGGGGGCAAAAGCAUGGCGCCACUCGACUUUUGGCGCUUGCUCGAGUCGGGCUGUUGACUGCCACCUUUUCACCGCUACGCAGCUGCAUGCCAUUGCUCAGAAUUCAUCACCACCUGUCAAAGAAGUCUUGGUGCUCAUUCGCACUGAUUAUCAGACAGGUCUUCGAUAGUAUGGGCUUUAUGCGUUCCAACCGUUUUUUCCCCUGCGCGGUGUACGGCAAUCGGAGCCUCCAGGCAAACUAGCGACACCAUCGAAAGCUCGCUAUGUGUUCACGGCGAAAAAGGUUUUGUUAUCAAGCGGGCGGCUAUUCAAGUGGUAGGGAGAGGGGGACAGUUUUCCAUGAGAACAGAUGGACAAGCCUAGGGGUGCCACAGCCAGCACACAUUUCAUACCCAGUCAAGCGAGCACCAUCACGACCGCAGAUUGCGCGUUUACCUUUUCGGCGGCAAUGCUAUUUACAUUUGUUUCAUCGCUUGAAACAGCCGGUGAACACCCCAACUCUGAUACCACACGGCCGCCGCCACAUCCCCAAAGUUCCAAUUGCUUUACAAAGCUGUCUCACCACAUGCGUUUGCAAAGCCUACUAAGGCUAACCAAUUUCACCUUUCCGUCCCCUGAUGGGGCCACGGUCAAUUAUUGGCCGGGCGGCGCGCAAGACUCUAACCGCAACAUGCUCACAACCCACACUGCGCAGCACCUCUUUCAGUAUCUGCACAAGGCGUGUGCAUCAGUUAGCGGAAAGUACAGUAGCACACAGCGCACCACCACGUCCGCAAAACGAUAUGAUAUGCCUUAGGCAUGCUGCGCAUCUUUUCCGCCACGUUCACUGCAAAGUAUCGAAUACCUUUUCACUAAGCAGAAGCAUCUUCGUGUCUCCCCAUCCACUGAGUACAUAAUCGUGCCUCACGGUGGUGCUGCCAUGUUCUACACGCUCAUCGCACUUUUACAAAAA